RNAcentral lists this transfer RNA (72 nucleotides) under Candida maltosa. RNAcentral's name for it is "tRNA-Gln". The record is from RNAcentral. Lineage: Eukaryota; Fungi; Ascomycota; Pichiomycetes; Serinales; Debaryomycetaceae.
UGAACUAUUGACUAAUAGGAAAGUCAUCUAGAUUUGGUCUAGACUAUAUACGUUCGAAUCGUAUUAGUUCAG